Molecule: ribosomal RNA, 210 nt
Filed under: uncultured bacterium
Lineage: Bacteria
Description: partial 16S ribosomal RNA
Rfam family: Bacterial small subunit ribosomal RNA
Source: RNAcentral
UACGAAGGGGGCUAGCGUUGCUCGGAAUCACUGGGCGUAAAGCGCACGUAGGCGGCUUUCUAAGUCAGGGGUGAAAUCCUGGAGCUCAACUCCAGAACUGCCUUUGAUACUGGAGUGCUUGAGUCCGGGAGAGGUGAGUGGAACUCCGAGUGUAGAGGUGAAAUUCGUAGAUAUUCGGGAAAGAACAACCCAGGUGGCGGAAAGGCGGGC